GCCAAGUCACGUGACUCCCUAUCAAAGGGGCGUCCACAUCGUUGUUGUUGAUAACACGCUGCAAGUAAAUUUACGGUGUCAUGCUGCUUCAUUCGACCAGAUAACACUCAGAAGUUAUCCUUGAAGAUCUCGCAACCCCGGCACAGGUGUCAACAUGUCGACGUCACACAUUCCUACGUCAUUAGACAGGCGAGACACGUCGCCCCCUGACUCUCAUCUCAUCUUCUCUGUCGUCUCGCUCAUCUUCUGUCUGCCUGUGGGGAUAUUCGCGAUCCUUGCCAGCCUGAAGAUCUGUGGGGCCUUCAGACCUUCAUCACUCCGGGCUUUCCUCCCACAUAAUAACAGACCGUGAUGUAACUGAAAUACUCUUCAAAACGGAGUUAAACUCACUUAAUUGCUCA
Molecule: long non-coding RNA, 401 nt
Organism: Haliotis rubra (blacklip abalone)
Lineage: Eukaryota; Metazoa; Mollusca; Gastropoda; Lepetellida; Haliotidae
Exons: 3
Source: RefSeq, a predicted model, not a curated record